GGGGGCUGCUUAUGCAACAGCAAGAGGCUUGUGGUUAAUAAACGGGCAGGCAGAGGUGUGACAAGAGCUCCAAGAAGGUUACGGUCCCUGGAGUGGGUGCCGCGAAUGCAACCGAUGGAAUAAGGUCUGAGAAGGGUGGAAGAACCCACAAAGUGCCCAAAGUCGGACUACAGAGGAAUGCUGAAAUGACUUUGCUACUAGUUGCAGAAUUGUAAUAUCCUGAGCACUAAAAUCCUGCUUAGAAGUCAGAUUACCGGGGCUGGUGAGAUGGCUCAGCGGGUAAGAGCACGGACUGCUCUU
Mastomys coucha (southern multimammate mouse) is the source of this 300-nucleotide long non-coding RNA. RefSeq lists it as uncharacterized. Lineage: Eukaryota; Metazoa; Chordata; Mammalia; Rodentia; Muridae. The transcript has 3 exons. The record is from RefSeq and is a predicted model, not a curated record.